UGGGGAAUUUUGCACAAUGGGGGAAACCCUGAUGCAGCGACGCCGCGUGAUUUAGAAGGCCUUCGGGUUGUAAAAAUCUUUUCUAUGGGAAGAAAAUGACAGUACCAUAGGAAUAAGGACCGGCUAAUUACGUGCCAGCAGCCGCGGUAAUACGUAAGGUCCGAGCGUUGUCCGGAAUUAUUGGGCGUAAAGGGUACGUAGGCGGGUAAGCAAGUUAGAAGUGAAAUCCUAUAGCUCAACUAUAGUAAGCUUUUAAAACUGCUCAUCUUGAGGUAUGGAAGGGAAAGUGGAAUUCCUAGUGUAGCGGUGAAAUGCGCAGAUAUUAGGAGGAAUACCGGUGGCGAAGGCGACUUUCUGGCCAUAACCUGACGCUGAGGUACGAAAGCGUGGGUAGCAAACAGG
This 402-nucleotide ribosomal RNA is filed under the name bacterium. RNAcentral describes it as "partial 16S ribosomal RNA". It matches the Rfam family "Bacterial small subunit ribosomal RNA", at positions 355 to 776 of the family's 1533-position model. The record is from RNAcentral.